CCCUCAGUCAAUGACGUGUCAGCUGGUCUCGGUCCCUGUCAACCCUCGAGGCUCCUCACCACGCUUCGCGGAGCCCAGCUCGAGCGACGUGGCGCGGCCAAGGCAGACGGGGGACCCCCGGGAGAGACCCAUCACUCCUCAGGGCGGAGGCGUACCGCGGAGUGCCGUGGUCGAGGCUGUUCACCCGGGAUGGUGAGAGGAGAGCGGACCUAUAGUCUGGAGCCGAAAAACCAUGCCCACUGAUGCAUCACCAUGACUUCUCACAACAACUCUGCUCACAUGUCCUCUCCUCCUCCUCCUCCUCCCCCACCACCACCACCGCCCUCCUCCUUACCGCUGUCAAGCCUCCAUCUCAACUCCUCCUUGACCCUGGCCUCCACCGCCCCCUCAUACAUCUUUUUGACAUUGCCUGACAAUUGCAGUGGCGCGGUGUCCACGUCUUCCUCGCCGCCAUACAACUUCUACGCCGUGCUGCUAGUUCUGCUCAUCUUCUGCGUGGUGUUCGGCAACGUGCUGGUGUGCGUGGCUGUGUCGCGGGAAAGAGCCCUGCAGACAACCACCAACUACCUCAUCGUUUCCCUGGCUGUUUCCGACCUGCUGCUAGCCACCCUGGUCAUGCCUUGGGGGGUCUACCUGGAGGUGGUGGGCGAGUGGCGCUUCAGCCUGAUCCACUGCGACAUCCUGCUGACUUUGGACGUGAUGAUGUGCACGGCCAGCAUCCUCAACCUGUGUGCGAUCAGCAUCGACAGGUACACGGCAGUGGCCAUGCCGUUGUUGUAUAACACACGCUACAGCUCCAGAAGGAGGGUGGCACUGAUGAUCGCCGCCGUCUGGUUCCUCUCCUUCGCCAUUUCCUGCCCGCUGCUCUUUGGACUCAACAACACUGCAGACCGCGAAGGCACCACGUGCAGCUUCGCCGACCCAGCCUUCGUAGUGUACUCGUCGGUGGCGUCCUUCUACGUGCCCUUCAUCGUCACCCUGCUGGUGUACGUUCAGAUCUGCGUGGUCCUGCGCAGACGCGGCCGACGCACAGCGCCCCCGCGCAGGCACAGCGGGGCCGAGGCCUCGGGGCUACAGCGGCCCAGGAAGAAUAAAUGUACCCAGCCAGAGGACGUGAAACUGAGCACUUUGAUCCUAAGGCCGUCCACUGCGGCCCCCGGGCGCAAGCGAGUGACGCUGGUGAAGGAGGCGCUGGUGCACCCCUUGGAUGUGGAACCAGGUCGCUUCCUGCCACAGACCGAACAGAGUUUAGCCGCGCCGCCCGCCGCCCAAACGUCUUCGGCACACCCGGGCCGGGCGACCAUCUCGCUGUCUAUCUCGGUGGGGCCCGCCCCGGCCCACCCGUGCAUGGUGACGCGCUCGGCCCUAACGCCCCGCCCCCCCACGCUGGAAGACGGCAUGCGGGGCCGCGAGACCUGGCGGGAGCUCGACGGUGGCUGGACCGGCGUGACCAAGGACAGGGCCAGGGGGAAGAUGUCGCAGCAGAAGGAGAGGAAGGCCACGCAGAUGCUCGCCAUUGUGCUCGGCUCACUGCGCCAGCUGCUGCAUCUCGCCGUCGCUGUACAGCACCGUCACAUGGCUGGGCUACCUCAACAGCGCCGUCAACCCCAUCAUCUACACCACCUUCAACGUGGAGUUCCGCAAGGCCUUCAUCAAAAUCCUCCUCUGUUGACCGCGAACGGUCUCCGACUCCGACCUCGGACUCCGUCUCGUGAAAAUGAAGUGAUCGUCAAAGGACGAUACGAACACACACGGAUGAUCGAUUGAAGAACAUUUUGACAAGGACGCAAGCUGAGGAUUGAUUGAUUCUCAACGGUCACUUCAUUAGGAUGGAGUUUCUGAGCCGGCAUAUCGAGGAAGGGUGAGCAUCCCCCCCAUCCACAAGUGGGGGCCAAGUCAGCAAGCCCGUCCAGCAGGGGACUCAACCAGGGAGACGCCACCGACGGAGAUCCCGAGCCCGACCGAAGCAGGCGUAGGCACCGUACCACCGCACCCCCACGCCCCACCUCCCCCGGAGAGCAUGGGGGCCCCACCAACCAGCAGGAGCCAGCAGCCAUCCAAAAAACAGUCAUAGCCCCCCAAAGGGAGCCCAUGUCAAGCGCCCCAUCGUGAGCAAGGACGGUGAGGGCACCAAGAGAGGGGAGAAGAAGGCGGGAUCCACAGGGGGGGGGUGACCCCCACCCCUCCGUGGCCCGACAACCGGACACAGGAUGCAAAAUAUUAUAAUUCAAUCGUUAUCUCAGUACAGUCAAGAGUUUUUUUUUUAAUUUUAACGAUAUUUAAGAACAAUGUUUUGUUUUGUUUUUACUUUCAAAAUAGGAGUAUCGUAAUAUAGACAAAUGUUAGCAUGUGUGUUGUAAUAUGUAUGUUAUGUAUUGCACAAUAAUCUGUCAUAACAUUGUGGUUGUCAUUCACGCCGUUUCUAAUAUUUUGGUUACAAGUGUUACAAUUUAUACAUAUGUAAUUAAGUGCAUUAUCAUUUUAAUUUAACUUGAAAGGAAACGUGCUUUUUUCCUCCAGUUUGGUUGUUUAAUUUCAAAUUUGAUGUGUGUAAAGGCAGUCCAAAGACUCAACUACAGUAUUUGUAUACUGAAGUACAUUUUUACAUAAUGUGUACCGUUUCAGUACAUUUUGGCAGCUUUAUGGUCAGAAUUCAUGAGAUUUUUAUGAGAUAAAUGUAACCAUACACAUUUAAAGAGA
Molecule: RNA transcript, 2700 nt
Organism: Phycodurus eques (leafy seadragon)
Lineage: Eukaryota; Metazoa; Chordata; Actinopteri; Syngnathiformes; Syngnathidae
Gene: drd2l
Gene name: dopamine receptor D2 like
Exons: 9
Source: RefSeq, a predicted model, not a curated record